AACAAGGUCUCCGUUGGUGAACCAGCGGAGGGAUCAUUACCGAGUGUAAAAACUCCCAAACCAUUGUGAACUUACCACUGUUGCUUCGGCGGCCUCGCCCCGGGCGCGUUCGCGCGGCCCGGACCCAGGCGUCCGCCGGAGGCUCCAAACUCUUGUCUUUUAGUGUAUUUCUGAGUGGCAUAAGCAAAUAAAUCAAAACUUUCAGCAACGGAUCUCUUGGUUCUGGCAUCGAUGAAGAACGCAGCAAAAUGCGAUAAGUAAUGUGAAUUGCAGAAUUCAGUGAAUCAUCGAAUCUUUGAACGCACAUUGCGCCCGCCAGUAUUCUGGCGGGCAUGCCUGUCUGAGCGUCAUUUCAACCCUCAGGACCCGUUCGCGGGACCUGGCGUUGGGGAUCAGCCUGCCCCUGGCGGCGGCUGGCCCUGAAAUCCAGUGGCGGUUCCCUCGCGAACUCCUCCGUGCAGUAAUUAAACCUCUCGCGGCAGGAUAGCGGUUGGACCACGCCGUUAAACCCCCCACUUCUCAAGGUUGACCUCAGAUCAGGUAGGAAUACCCGCUGAACUUAAGCAUAUCAAUAAACA
RNAcentral lists this ribosomal RNA (578 nucleotides) under uncultured fungus. Its description in RNAcentral is "eukaryotic LSU rRNA". The stretch from base 197 to 350 matches the Rfam family "5.8S ribosomal RNA". Lineage: Eukaryota; Fungi. The record is from RNAcentral.